RNAcentral lists this ribosomal RNA (468 nucleotides) under uncultured bacterium. RNAcentral's name for it is "partial 16S ribosomal RNA". It matches the Rfam family "Bacterial small subunit ribosomal RNA", at positions 28 to 507 of the family's 1533-position model. The record is from RNAcentral.
GACGAACGCUGGCGGCGUGCUUAACACAUGCAAGUCGAACGGAAAGGCCCUGCUUUUGUGGGGUGCUCGAGUGGCGAACGGGUGAGUAACACGUGAGUAACCUGCCCUUGACUUUGGGAUAACUUCAGGAAACUGGGGCUAAUACCGGAUAGGAGCUCCUGCUGCAUGGUGGGGGUUGGAAAGUUUCGGCGGUUGGGGAUGGACUCGCGGCUUAUCAGCUUGUUGGUGGGGUAGUGGCUUACCAAGGCUUUGACGGGUAGCCGGCCUGAGAGGGUGACCGGCCACAUUGGGACUGAGAUACGGCGCAGACGCCUACGGGAGGCAGCAGUGGGGAAUAUUGCACAAUGGGCGGAAGCCUGAUGCAGCAACGCCGCGUGCGGGAUGUCGGCCUUCGGGUUGUAAACCGCUUUCGACUGUGACGAAGCGUGAGUGACGGUAAUGGGUAAAGAAGCACCGGCUAACUACGUG